Molecule: long non-coding RNA, 1731 nt
Organism: Peromyscus californicus insignis
Lineage: Eukaryota; Metazoa; Chordata; Mammalia; Rodentia; Cricetidae
Exons: 2
Source: RefSeq, a predicted model, not a curated record
UGUGCUUGGUUGGAAGAGGGCAUUGGAUCUCCUGGAAUUGAAGCAACAGAUGGUUGUGAGCCACCAUGUGGGUGUUGGGAAUUGAACCUUGGUCCCCUGCAAGAGCAAGUGUUCUUAACUGCUGGGCCGUCUCUCCAGUCCCGUUUGUGUUUGUGAUUUGGUUUUUGAGACAGGGUUUGUCUGUGUAACAGCUCUGGCUGUCCUAGGACUCACUCUGUAGACCAGACUGACCUUGAACUCACAGAGAUUCACCUGCCUCCACCUCCUGAGUGCUGGGAUUAAAGGCGUGCGCCACCACAUCUGGCUCACUUUUUUGUUUUUAAUACACGCCUUUCUUCAUUCCCAGAAGCCUGGAGAUAUACAAUAAAGAAAGCCUCAUUACUAUAAUUAGAAGAAUUAUUCUGAUAAUGACUGUAUUGGUCUUUUUGGUAACAGCAUGCUCUUAGUUGCCGAUGACAGAAUUCACUGUCCUGAGUUUUAACAGUGAGGGAUUACAGCCUCAUAGUUGGAAGAUCAUAGGAUUGCCAGCAGUGCCUGGAAAGUAGACUAACAUUCUGCACAGUCAGACAUAAUCCUGGGAGAAAGACUCUCUCUGCAACAGGCACAGUCUCACGGAAAUCCCACUGCCACUGCUCACCAGUCGGUAUCUAUGUGCUGGGGGCUGGGCACUAGGACUUCCAAAGCUCUUCUACCGUGGUGGUUUCGAAAAGGCAGCUCCACCUGCACGUGGCUGCCACUGCAUCUGAGUCACAUUCCCCUCCCCAGAUUCCGUGCUCCGCACAAGCCGGGUGACAUGUAGCAGCCUCCCACAAGUAACUUCCAGCACAGCUGGCUUCAGAAAGGGUAAAGGUGGGUACUGCGGAUCUGUCUGUGGAGUCUGCCAUGAUGACUGUGGUAGUUCCAAUGUAAUUGGCUCCCAUAAGCUCAUAGGGGAGUGGCACUAUUAGGAGGUGUGGCUUUGUUGGAGUAGGUGUGGCUUUGAUGGAGGGAGUAUGUCACCGAGGAGGUGGCCUUUGAGGUCUCCUAUAUGCUCAAGCCAUACCUAGUGUCUCAGACCACUUCCUGUUGCCUGUGGUAUCAAGAUGUAGCUCCUUCUUCAGCACACUGCCAUGAACUGCCCUGAGGACAAUGGAUUGGACUUCUGAAACUGGCAGAGCCGCGCUGACAAGAACCGGCCUGUAGCGGUACACACAGUCCAGCUGUGUUUUCAGCCUGAAUGCCCAGGGGCAAGUGUCAUUAACAUUCCAAGGUGUCAAGUACUUCCCCACCACAAAAAGCCCUGCAGCAUCUUACUGUGUUCGAGGAUUCACAGCACCAUCCUCUCGGUCCAGCACACUCGGUAUACAACAAGGAUGUGCAGAAGAUCAACGUUCUGAACCCCGACAAUCCCCCGUGGAUGGAACCUGCUGAGUUAUAGAACGAGAGACACUUUGAAGGGAACAGCUGAUCCAGUGUCCUCCCACCUCUUGUUUCUAAAUUAGAAUCCCAAACUCAGAUCCACUGGAGUCACGCUUUAAUUUCAUUUGAAACCUGUGUCAUCCUGUUGAAUUGGGGCCCACAGGAAAUAGGGCCUUGGCAAAUCCUGGAUCUCCUGGAAUUUGAUCCUGACCCAGUACCUGGCCUGGUCUGGUUUCCUUUGGGCUAAAGCAUUUUCUUGUUUGCAUGCAGAAAAAUAUGUUUUACAAUAUAAUAUGGAAAUGACUGCUGGUAUGUAAUAAGCAUUAAACUGUA